RNAcentral lists this unclassified non-coding RNA (278 nucleotides) under uncultured Anabaena sp. RNAcentral describes it as "partial 16S-23S ribosomal RNA intergenic spacer". The record is from RNAcentral. Lineage: Bacteria; Bacillati; Cyanobacteriota; Cyanophyceae; Nostocales; Nostocaceae.
UAGGGAGACCUAAUCCAUUUAGAAAUCGAAAACAAUGAAAAUUGUCAAUAGAAACUAAAUUGGUCUAACCUAGGUCGUUCGAGAUUGGUAGACAUCUUUCAAAGUAUUAUUCGGCUUCGUUCAAAACCAUAUAUAAUAAAUGGAAAAAGACAGCACCUAAUUGUCAAAGUUAGACUGCUGGAUGAAAUUCCAGCCAGAACCUUGAAAACUGCAUAAGAGAACGAGAAAAAGCAGGCAGACACAGACACUUAGAUGGAUGUGAAAGCAAAAGAAAUUGU